AGCGCUUGCAGGCCAAGCUGGACAGGCUUCAGGGGUGCAGUCCAAAUCACCUGAGCGUCCAAGACCUGCAGGUCUCAC
Molecule: long non-coding RNA, 78 nt
Filed under: Cavia porcellus (domestic guinea pig)
Lineage: Eukaryota; Metazoa; Chordata; Mammalia; Rodentia; Caviidae
Description: lncRNA (ENSCPOG00000036794.1)
Source: RNAcentral